Chryseobacterium takakiae is the source of this 46-nucleotide non-coding RNA. Lineage: Bacteria; Pseudomonadati; Bacteroidota; Flavobacteriia; Flavobacteriales; Weeksellaceae. The record is from Rfam.
AAUCGGAUUUGCAUCCGAUUCUGUUAUAGGUCGUCCCUUCGGGACU